RNAcentral lists this ribosomal RNA (415 nucleotides) under uncultured bacterium. Its description in RNAcentral is "bacterial SSU rRNA". It matches the Rfam family "Bacterial small subunit ribosomal RNA", at positions 29 to 490 of the family's 1533-position model. The record is from RNAcentral.
AACGAACGCUGGCGGCAUGCCUAACACAUGCAAGUCGAACGAGACCUUCGGGUCUAGUGGCGCACGGGUGCGUAACACGUGGGAAUUUGCCUCGGGGUAUGGAAUAACUCAGGGAAACUUGAGCUAAUACCAUAUAAUGUCUUCGGACCAAAGAUUUAUCGCCCUGAGAUAAGCCCGCGUAGGAUUAGCUAGUUGGUGGGGUAAAGGCUCACCAAGGCGACGAUCCUUAGCUGGUCUGAGAGGAUGAUCAGCCACACUGGGACUGAGACACGGCCCAGACUCCUACGGGAGGCAGCAGUGGGGAAUAUUGGACAAUGGGCGAAAGCCUGAUCCAGCAAUGCCGCGUGAGUGAUGAAGGCCUUCGGUUGUAAGACUCUUUACUCGGGACGAUAAUAGACGGUACCGAGAGAAUAAG